UAGGGAAUCUUCCGCAAUGGACGAAAGUCUGACGGAGCAACGCCGCGUGAGUGAUGAAGGUUUUCGGAUCGUAAAACUCUGUUGUUAGGGAAGAACAAGUAUCGGAGUAACUGCCGGUACCUUGACGGUACGUAACCAGAAAGCCACGGCUAACUACGUGCCAGCAGCCGCGGUAAUACGUAGGUGGCAAGCGUUGUCCGGAAUUAUUGGGCGUAAAGCGCGCGCAGGUGGUUCUUUAAGUCUGAUGUGAAAGCCCACGGCUCAACCGUGGAGGGUCAUUGGAAACUGGGGAACUUGAGUGCAGAAGAGGAAAGUGGAAUUCCAAGUGUAGCGGUGAAAUGCGUAGAGAUUUGGAGGAACACCAGUGGCGAAGGCGACUUUCUGGUCUGUAACUGACACUGAGGCGCGAAAGCGUGGGGAGCGAACAGG
RNAcentral lists this ribosomal RNA (429 nucleotides) under Bacillota bacterium. RNAcentral describes it as "Firmicutes bacterium partial 16S ribosomal RNA". It matches the Rfam family "Bacterial small subunit ribosomal RNA", at positions 355 to 776 of the family's 1533-position model. The record is from RNAcentral. Lineage: Bacteria; Bacillati; Bacillota.